CUCUAUUCUCCUUCCGUCAUCAUCUUUGGAACUCUUAUCAUCUCUAUUUCUCUUUCAUUUCUAUUCAUUUUCUCUUUUUUUUUUUUUCUCCAUCCCGAUUUCCCUGAUCUGAAUUGUAAUUUACGAUUUGGUUUUGGCCUUACUCGAUCUUUGUUGCGUCUCUUCAGAUAUUGAUUUCAACCUUCAUUUUAUCUCUUUUUUUCCAAUUUGAUAUAAUUUUUUGACAUUGAAAUUAGGGUAAAAGGUGCUGAUGUUUUGUUACGGAUUGAUUCAAAAUAGUUAAAAAUGGAUCUAUCAUUUACGAAGCUAUUCAGCCGGUUGUAAAUAUAUGUCAUUUGUUGUAGGGUUUAAUGUGGAAACAGUGGAAUAUAACAACAUCAGCUUCACUGCUUGGGAUGUUGGUGGCCAGGAUAAGGAUGGGUUUGAAUUAUCAAAGGGAGCUAUAUGAUCGAUGUGGAGGAAAUUGGAAGUGAGUUUUCAGGUUUUUGCAGGCUGUGGAACAAUCCUCUGAGAUGGUGGGAGACAUUAUCAAGCAAUGUACUAUUUCAUUAUAUCAAUCAAUUACUUUGUGUGUGUGGUUUCGGUUCAUCACUGAGAUCAUUCCAGGACAAAGAUGACUCACCAUUACAACCAAAGGGGAUACGUACAUUGUUAUUGAAACCCCCAAGCCUAUGCUACCCACGAGUAGCUUUCGUGCUAAUGAUCUAGGAAGGCAAAAGCUGAUGCAACAGCAAUAGCACCGAACACUAUAAGGCAUCGAUGGAUUGGUCGAUAUGAGGCUCAUUUGUGGGAUAAGAAUUUUUGGAAUGAAUCACAGAGCAAGAAAGGAAGACAAGGUUCUUAAUAAUUAAUUUACACUUCUCAUAUUUUCUUUUUCUGGAUUUUUUUCAGUUAAUUAUUUUAUUUAUUGGCAUGUUCAUUAUUAUGUUGUCUUGGUUCGUGAUGGCAAUGGAAAACAACUGGAUGCAGUAUAUCUUGGGGCAUAUGACGAUGAAGAAGCUGCAGCACGUGCCUAUGACUUGGUAGCACUGAAGUAUUGGGGCCAAGAUACCAUUCUCAAUUUUCCAUUCUCAAAUUAUCAAGAGGAGCUCAAGGAGAUUGGAGGGCCAGUCAAAAGAAGAACAUAUUGGAUCCUUAAGAAGGUUUUUUAGUUAUUAAAUCCUUAUCCGGGAGACUUGCACCCACAUAAUUAAUUCUUAUCUCACCUGCUCCUAAGUUCUUAAACUUGAUGUUUGAUUGGUGUUUUGACCUGCAGCUAGUAAAAAGCACUUCUAUUCAUCUUUAUUUUAUAUUUCAUGUGUAUAUCUAUAUCUAUAUCUAUAUUUUUUUACCGUUAUUUUGAUUUGUAAUUAUAGUAAUUGAUUUUUACUCUU
This is a long non-coding RNA of Gastrolobium bilobum, 1373 nucleotides long. RefSeq lists it as uncharacterized. Lineage: Eukaryota; Viridiplantae; Streptophyta; Magnoliopsida; Fabales; Fabaceae. The record is from RefSeq and is a predicted model, not a curated record. The transcript is spliced from 6 exons.